This 308-nucleotide ribosomal RNA is filed under the name Agrobacterium tumefaciens. Its description in RNAcentral is "bacterial SSU rRNA". It matches the Rfam family "Bacterial small subunit ribosomal RNA", at positions 1 to 338 of the family's 1533-position model. RNAcentral also lists the same sequence under 1 other name. Lineage: Bacteria; Pseudomonadati; Pseudomonadota; Alphaproteobacteria; Hyphomicrobiales; Rhizobiaceae. The record is from RNAcentral.
UCAACUUGAGAGUUUGAUCCUGGCUCAGAACGAACGCUGGCGGCAGGCUUAACACAUGCAAGUCGAACGCAUCGCAAGAUGAGUGGCAGACGGGUGAGUAACGCGUGGGAACAUACCCUUUUCUACGGAAUAGCUCUGGGAAACUGGAAUUAAUACCGUAUACGCCCUACGGGGGAAAGAUUUAUCGGGGAAGGAUUGGCCCGCGUUGGAUUAGCUAGUUGGUGGGGUAAAGGCCUACCAAGGCGACGAUCCAUAGCUGGUCUGAGAGGAUGAUCAGCCACAUUGGGACUGAGACACGGCCCAAACUC